This 2896-nucleotide ribosomal RNA is filed under the name Mycoplasmopsis pullorum. Its description in RNAcentral is "bacterial LSU rRNA". It matches the Rfam family "Bacterial large subunit ribosomal RNA". The record is from RNAcentral. Lineage: Bacteria; Bacillati; Mycoplasmatota; Mycoplasmoidales; Metamycoplasmataceae.
UUGUACUUUUAAAUAAGUAAGAGUUUAUGGUGGAUGCCUUGGGUCUGGAAGUCGAUGAAGGACGUGAUUACCUGCGAUAAGCCUCGUGGAGCUGGAUAUGAGCUACGAAACGGGGAUUUCCGAAUGGGGAAACCUAACCGAAGUAAUGUUCGGUUGCCUUGUAAUGAAUAAAAUAGUUACUUGAGCGAGACACGUUGUGAACUGAAACAUCUUAGUAGCAACAGGAAGAGAAAAUAAAUAAUGAUUCUAUCAGUAGCGGCGAGCGAACGUAGAAGAGCCCAAACCAACGAAUGUUGGGGUUGUAGGACAAUCUACAUGAAGUUACAAAUCUAUAUCAUAGCAGAAAGAGUUGGGAAACUCUGGCAUAGAAAGUGAAACCCUUGUAUGCGAAAUGGUAUGGACUUCUGAUUGUAUCCUGAGUAGGGCGGGGCACGUGAAACCCUGUCUGAAUCUGCCGGGACCAUCCGGUAAGGCUAAAUACUAACCAGACACCGAUAGUGAACUAGUACCGUGAGGGAAAGGUGAAAAGAACCCCGGGAGGGGAGUGAAAUAGAUUCUGAAACCAUUUACUUACAAUUAGUCAGAGCCCGUUAAUGGGUGAUGGCGUACAUCUUGCAGUAUGGACCGGCGAGUUAUGUUAACAUGCGAGGUUAAGUGGAAAAAAACGGAGCCGCAGAGAAAUCGAGUCUUAAUAGGGCGUUUAGUAUGUUGAUAUAUACCCGAAACCAUGUGAUCUAUUCAUGAGCAGACUGAAGCUUGGCUAACCCCAAGUGGAGGGUCGAACCGUAGUACGCUGAAAAGUGCCCGGAUGACUUGUGAAUAGUGGAGAAAUUCCAAUCGAACUUGGAGAUAGCUGGUUCUCCUCGAAAUAGCUUUAGGGCUAGCGUGUGAUGUUAAACUUUGGUGGUAGAGCACUGAAUAUGGAAUGGCCGCGCCUAGCGGUACUGACUAUAAUCAAACUCCGAAUACCAUUGUGUAUUAUCAUGCAGUCGGAACCGGGGUGCUAACGUCCCGGCUCGCGAGGGAAACAACCCAGAUCGUCAGCUAAGGUCCCAAAAUCGUGUUAAGUCAGAAAGGUUGUGAGAUUUCAUAAACAACUAGGAGGUUGGCUUAGAAGCAGCCAUCCUUUAAAGAGUGCGUAAUAGCUCACUAGUCAAGAGAUCUUGCGCCAAUAAUGUAACGGGAGUCAAACACGAUACCGAAGCUACGGGUACAUCUGUACGUUAGAGGAGCGUUCCUAGGGCGGUGAAGCUAAACCGUGAGGAUUAGUGGAGCGUUAGGAAGUGAGAAUGCCGGUAUGAGUAACGAUUCGUGGUGAGAAUCCACGACGCCUAUUGGGAAAGGUUUCCUGGGGAAGGUUCGUCCACCCAGGGUUAGUCAGGACCUAAGGAGAGGCUGAAAAGCGUAUCCGAUGGAUAACAGGUUAAUAUUCCUGUACUAUCUAUAAUUAGUGAUGGAAUGACGGAGAAGGAUAACAAUACCCAUUAUUGGAUUUGGGGGUAAGCAACGACUGGUCAAUGUAGUUAAAUGCGCAUUGUAUAACCGGGAUUUGUGAUGCAUAGUGAUUUAUUUCACGAAUUUUGUGAUUCCAUGCUUCCAAGAAAAGUUUCUAAGCGUUAUAAAAUUAUAGGUACCUGUACCGAGAACGGACACACGUUCCCAAGAUGAGUAUUCUAAGGCGAGCGAGAAAACCAAUGUUAAGGAACUCUGCAAAUUGACCCCGUAAGUUCGCGAGAAGGGGCGCCCAUUUUGAUGGGCCACAGUAAAUUUUGAGGGGCAACUGUUUAUCAAAAACACAGCUCUCUGCUAAACCGCAAGGUGAUGUAUAGGGGGUGAAGCCUGCCCAGUGCCCGAAGGUUAAAUGGAUGCGUUAGCUUAUGCGAAGCGUUGAAAUGAAGCCCGGGUGAACGGCGGCCGUAACUAUAACGGUCCUAAGGUAGCGAAAUUCCUUGUCGGCUAAAUACUGACCUGCACGAAAGGCGCAAUGAUCUCUCAACUGUCUCAACAUUGGACUCGGUGAAAUUAUGGUCCCAGUGAAAACGCUGGGUACCCGCAUCAAGACGAAAAGACCCCAUGGAGCUUUACUACAACUUCGUAUUGGAACUUGGCCUAACAUGUGUAGGAUAGGUGGGAGACUAUGAGAUUAUGACGCUAGUCAUAAAGGAGUCAACCUUGAAAUACCACCCUUGGUAUGUUGAGUUUCUAACUUGCCGCCGUUAUCCGGUGGGAGGACAGUGCGUGGUGGGUAGUUUGACUGGGGCGGUCGCCUCCUAAAAGGUAACGGAGGCGUUCAAAGGUACACUCAAUACGGUCAGAAACCGUAUGCAGAGCGCAAAGGUAGAAGUGUGCUUGACUGCGAGACCUACAAGUCGAGCAGGUGCGAAAGCAGGACUUAGUGAUCCGGCUGUACGUCAUGGAACGGCAGUCGCUCAACGGAUAAAAGUUACCCUGGGGAUAACAGGCUUAUCUUGCCCAAGAGAUCACAUCGACGGCAAGGUUUGGCACCUCGAUGUCGGCUCAUCGCAUCCUGGAGCUGGAGUCGGUUCCAAGGGUUUGGCUGUUCGCCAAUUAAAGCGGUACGCGAGCUGGGUUCAGAACGUCGUGAGACAGUUCGGUCCCUAUCUGAUGUGGGCGUUGGAAUAUUGAUGAGAGCUGCUCUUAGUACGAGAGGACCGGAGUGGACACACCGCUGGUGUUCCUGUUGUUUCGCCAGAAGCAUAGCAGGGUAGCUAAGUGUGGAAAGGAUAACCGCUGAAAGCAUCUAAGUGGGAAGCCUCCUCAGAGAUAAGUAUUCCCUUGAAAUUCCUUGUAGACUACGAGGUUGAUAGGAUGGAAGUGUACGUGUAGUAAUACAUUCAGCUGACCAUUACUAAUAAAUUGAUAGGUUUAAAAGUAA